AUUGAACGCAGGCGGCAGGCCUAACACAUGCAAGUCGGACGGUAGCACAGAGGAGCUUGCUCCUCGGGUGACGAGUGGCGGACGGGUGAGUAAUGUCUGGGGGUCUGCCCGAUAGAGGGGGAUAACCACUGGAAACGGUGGCUAAUACCGCAUAACGUCGCAAGACCAAAGAGGGGGACCUGCGGGCCUCUCACUAUCGGAUGAACCCAGAUGGGAUUAGCUAGUAGGCGGGGUAACGGCCCACCUAGGCGACGAUUCCUAGCUGGUCUGAGAGGAUGACCAGCCACACGGGAACUGAGACACGGACCAGACUCCUACGGGAGGCAGCAGUGGGGAAUAUUGCACAAUGGGCGCAAGCCUGAUGCAGCCAUGCCGGGUGUAUGAAGAAGGCCUUCGGGUUGUAAAGUACUUUCAGCGGGGAGGAAGGCGAUGUGGUUAAUAACCGCAUUGAUUGACGUUACCCGCAGAAGAAGCACCGGCUAACUCCGUGCCAGCCGCCGCCGUAA
This 506-nucleotide ribosomal RNA is filed under the name uncultured bacterium. RNAcentral's name for it is "partial 16S ribosomal RNA". It matches the Rfam family "Bacterial small subunit ribosomal RNA", at positions 29 to 523 of the family's 1533-position model. The record is from RNAcentral.